RNAcentral lists this ribosomal RNA (253 nucleotides) under uncultured bacterium. RNAcentral describes it as "partial 16S ribosomal RNA". It matches the Rfam family "Bacterial small subunit ribosomal RNA", at positions 524 to 776 of the family's 1533-position model. The record is from RNAcentral.
UACGGAGGUGGCAAGCGUUGUUCGGAAUUACUGGGCGUAAAGAGCGUGUAGGCGGCCUGGUCAGUCGGUUGUGAAAGCCCUGGGCUCAACCCGGGGAGGCCGACCGAUACUGCCGGGCUGGAGUGCGGGAGAGGAGAGUGGAACUACCGGUGUAGCGGUGAAAUGCGUAGAGAUCGGUAGGAACACCCGUGGCGAAGGCGGCUCUCUGGACCGCAACUGACGCUGAGACGCGAAAGCUAGGGGAGCGAACGGG